CAGAUUUGGUUGGGACAUUUUCUUGAGGUUCAAGGAUGAUUUCUUUCCAUCCAAGAAACCCUAAUUUAUUCUCUGUUGGAUUCUUUACCAUUUACGUUCACCUAGAGAUCAAGGUUAAAUCCGUAACUUACACAAGCUAUGAUCUUGUUCUGUACGCAUUCUCAUCACUUACUGUAACGCGUAGGUUUGUGCAAGUGUACACAGUCGUUAUCAAGUAAUAAGUAAGUAUCGAGUUAUCGUCUCCACAGGGAUUGUAUUUGUGCUAAGUCACUUAAUUUGUAAAAUUAUAUUAACAAUUUGGUAAACAAAAACACAAUAUAUUUGAAAACUAGUGAUUAAAAUAUAUUCAACUAAA
This is a long non-coding RNA of Gossypium raimondii (Peruvian cotton), 355 nucleotides long. RefSeq lists it as uncharacterized. The record is from RefSeq and is a predicted model, not a curated record. Lineage: Eukaryota; Viridiplantae; Streptophyta; Magnoliopsida; Malvales; Malvaceae. The transcript has 2 exons.